UAAUACCAGCAGCUCAAGUUGCAACCGCAUUUAUUGGGUCUAAAGCGUUCGUAGCUGAUUUAGCAAGUUUUUUGUGAAAUCAUUAAGCUUAACCUAAUGGCGUGCAAGAAAUACUGCUAAAUUAGAGACUGGGAGACGUAGCGAGUACGGCAAGUGUAGUAGUAAAAUACUCUAAUCCUUGCUGGACUAACGAUGGCGAAGGCACGCUACGAGAACAGAUCUGACAGUGAGGAACGAAGGCUAGGGGCGCAAAGAGGAUUAGAUACCCUCGUAGUCCUAGCUGUAAACGCUGCCCACUAAACCUUGUGCUCUCUUCGAGAGAGUGCUGGGCUGAAGCGAAGGCGUUAAGUGGGCCACCUGGGGAGUAUAGUCGCAAGGCUG
This 381-nucleotide ribosomal RNA is filed under the name uncultured archaeon. RNAcentral's name for it is "bacterial SSU rRNA". It matches the Rfam family "Archaeal small subunit ribosomal RNA", at positions 471 to 851 of the family's 1478-position model. The record is from RNAcentral.